AGUGAACGCUGGCGGUAGGCCUAACACAUGCAAGUCGAACGGCAGCACAGUAAGAGCUUGCUCUUACGGGUGGCGAGUGGCGGACGGGUGAGGAAUACAUCGGAAUCUACUUUUUCGUGGGGGAUAACGUAGGGAAACUUACGCUAAUACCGCAUACGACCUACGGGUGAAAGCAGGGGAUCUUCGGACCUUGCGCGAUUGAAUGAGCCGAUGUCGGAUUAGCUAGUUGGCGGGGUAAAGGCCCACCAAGGCGACGAUCCGUAGCUGGUGUGAGAGGAUGAUCAGCCACACUAGAACUGGAACACGGUCCAGACUCCUGCGGGAGGCAGCAGUGGUGAAUAUUGGACAGUGGGCGCAAGCCUGGUCCAGCCAUACCGCGUGGGUGAAGAAGGCCUUCGGGUUGUAAAGCCCUUUUGUUGGGAAAGAAAAGCAGCAGGUUAAUACCCCGCUGUUCUGACGGUACCCAAAGAAUAAGCACCGGCUAACUUCGUG
RNAcentral lists this ribosomal RNA (492 nucleotides) under uncultured bacterium. Its description in RNAcentral is "partial 16S ribosomal RNA". It matches the Rfam family "Bacterial small subunit ribosomal RNA", at positions 29 to 507 of the family's 1533-position model. The record is from RNAcentral.